RNAcentral lists this ribosomal RNA (1135 nucleotides) under Rotylenchulus reniformis. Its description in RNAcentral is "eukaryotic LSU rRNA". It matches the Rfam family "Eukaryotic large subunit ribosomal RNA", at positions 1 to 964 of the family's 3401-position model. The record is from RNAcentral. Lineage: Eukaryota; Metazoa; Nematoda; Chromadorea; Rhabditida; Hoplolaimidae.
ACCUGAACUCAAACGUGAUUACCCGCUGAACUUAAGCAUAUCAGUAAGCGGAGGAAAAGAAACUAAAAAGGAUUCCCGUAGUAACGGCGAGUGAACUGGGAAUAGUCCAGCGCUGAAUCGUGGUGCCUCCGGUACUGUGAGGUGUAGCGUACAGACAACAAUCUUGGGUGGCCACUCCGUUCAAAUUCCCCUUGAUCGGGGUCCCGUAGAAGGUGCAAGGCCUGUCCAACGGAUGUCUACCAGUCCAUCUUUGCUUGUCUUGGAGUCGGGUUGUUUGGGGUCGCAGCCCAAAGCAGGUGGUAAACUUCAUCUAAGACUACAUAUGACCACGAGUCCGAUAGCGAACAAGUACCGUGAGGGAAAGUUGCAAAGCACUUUGAAGAGAGAGUUAAACAGGACGUGAAACCGAUGAGGUGGAAACGGACAGAGCCGGCGUAUCUGGCCUGUAUUCAACUGGAGACCCAAGCACAUUGGGUAGGCCUUUUCCAGAUUGGACAGGCGAUCCAACUGUUUGGGGGUCUACAGUGCAUUUGCAGGUGGAGUGCGCUGAGGUGGUCGGGUUAGCGGUGUGAUCUCGGGUUUGAGGCCAGCCCCUCGAGGUAUGGUACCCGGCUCGGUGGAGUGCUGUUUAGCCUGUUCAACUCAACUUGUAUGGAAAUGGUCUCGGGUCCGGCUGAUAUCCAGCUAGCAACCGGUGGCGGUCGCAUGCGACACGUGCUGGUGGUUGGUUGGGUACUGGUCUGGCUCCCAUAUUUUCCAAUCCUCGGUGUAAAAGCCGGUCAUCUGUCCGACCCGUCUUGAAACACGGACCAAGGAGUUUAGCGUGUGCGCGAGUCAUUGAGUGUUGGAAACCCAAAGGCGCAAUGAAAGUGAAGGUCUCUCUUGUGGAGCUGAUGUGUGACCCGGAUCACCGAGGUGGCCCGGAGCAACAUGGUCCCGUCCUGAUCGCUUGCGAUGGGGCGGAGACAGAGCGUACGCGCUGAGACCCGAAAGAUGGUGAACUAUUCCUGAGCAGGACGAAGCCAGAGGAAACUCUGGUGGAAGUCCGAAGCGAUUCUGACGUGCAAAUCGAUCGUCUGACUUGGGUAUAGGGGCGAAAGACUAAUCGAACCAUCUAGUAGCUGGUUCCUUCCGA